ACCACUCCGUCAACACCCACUCCUUCCUCCCUCUUUGUCUUGGGCUGGAAACCAAGGAAAAGUUCAAUGACCUCUCUUAACUCUCUCUUAUUCGUUCUGCGUGUUUUUUGGGUAUCAGCUGAGCUCAUUCUGGCCAUGUAAAGGAAUGAGAGGAAAGCAUUGAUGUAAGGGAGUGGCAAGGAGUGGAAUGACUGGUACUCAGGCUAAUAGGCUUGGGUAGCACAUAGAGAGAUGAAGAAAGUGAGCGCAAGAAGAGAAUCUGAGAUGAUCCUCACCCACUACAUCAUCCUCUCCUCAAGCUCUUCAGCACCAAAUCUCUUCUAACGCACAUAAGAGGCUUCCCUGAUCAACGGAACAAUGGAUACCCAAAACAGGGGCCAUCCAUUAUUGAACCAAAAGAGCAACACUACUCAAUCAACAGUACAGACUGAAUACCGACUGGGAUACCACAACUCUCAAAUCAGACACCAAGAUGCUGUCUCUGUCGAAUGUUGAGCUUUUUCAGACACCUGAACAAUUGCUUCAAAUUCUACGAAAUGUAGAACUUUGGGAUUCUUGAGUAUGUGAAAUAACUUUUGAGGAUCCCUUGAUCUUCAAUGCUUCAGAGAAGUUUCUCUUCUACUUGAAAUACAAGGUGAAUCACAACUUUGCAUUUAAUUAGUCUUCACCUUAACUCUUCUCUUCUAUUGUCCUCAUUAGAGGCAAGAUCUUCUCUAUCAAUACUGUAUCAAGCGUUGAGAAAACAUGGGCAGCAUGGGCUCCACCUCCAUCUGGACCUUCAAACAAAAGUUGACAGAAAGCCAGAGUUGCCAAUUAGCACAGAAUGAUGUUAUUUUCUCCCCAGUUAUCGCUCUCCAAACAGAACAAUGAGGAUCAGCGGUUCAGGCCGACCCACGCUCCGGUUACAUGUUUCUGCUGCGAGGCCCAGUUUGUGUGAGCGUAAUCCUUGAGAAAGCAGCUUUUUACAAAACACAAAGAGCAAUGCUGGAGCCAGGGACCUCAUCACCAGAUAAAAGUGUGGAACAAACUAUUUCCCCCUAUGAGGCAAACUGUCUGGUGUUAUAUCAGGGAGAGGUUUUACCAUGCGAUGAGUGCUGUGAAAACAUGACUUCACCUGAGAGUCAAAUGGGACUAUCAUAUCUUGGAUGUAGGAUUGGUGUAUACUGUUGGUUUGAAUGACUGUUGCUUGUUGAAGAGAUAUUUCUGUUCAAAGGCUGCAUUCAAAAACACGCAUUGUUAUUAAGAUCCAAUAAAAAAUUAAAUUUCACAAUA
Molecule: long non-coding RNA, 1272 nt
Organism: Oncorhynchus kisutch (coho salmon)
Lineage: Eukaryota; Metazoa; Chordata; Actinopteri; Salmoniformes; Salmonidae
Exons: 2
Source: RefSeq, a predicted model, not a curated record